GGAUUGUGGCUCAGCGGUAAAGCACUUGCCUAGCACAUGCGAGGCCCUGGGUUCCAUCCUCAGCACCA
Molecule: transfer RNA, 68 nt
Filed under: Marmota monax (woodchuck)
Lineage: Eukaryota; Metazoa; Chordata; Mammalia; Rodentia; Sciuridae
Description: tRNA.Ala
Source: RNAcentral